RNAcentral lists this ribosomal RNA (479 nucleotides) under uncultured bacterium. RNAcentral's name for it is "bacterial SSU rRNA". It matches the Rfam family "Bacterial small subunit ribosomal RNA", at positions 337 to 833 of the family's 1533-position model. The record is from RNAcentral.
UCCUACGGGAGGCAGCAGUGGGGAAUAUUGGACAAUGGGGGCAACCCUGAUCCAGCCAUGCCGCGUGAGUGAUGAAGGCCCUAGGGUUGUAAAGCUCUUUUGUGCGGGAAGAUAAUGACGGUACCGCAAGAAUAAGCCCCGGCUAACUUCGUGCCAGCAGCCGCGGUAAUACGAAGGGGGCUAGCGUUGCUCGGAAUCACUGGGCGUAAAGGGUGCGUAGGCGGGUUUUUAAGUCAGGGGUGAAAUCCUGGAGCUCAACUCCAGAACUGCCUUUGAUACUGAAGAUCUUGAGUUCGGGAGAGGUGAGUGGAACUGCGAGUGUAGAGGUGAAAUUCGUAGAUAUUCGCAAGAACACCAGUGGCGAAGGCGGCUCACUGGCCCGAUACUGACGCUGAGGCACGAAAGCRUGGGGAGCAAACAGGAUUAGAUACCCUGGUAGUCCACGCCGUAAACGAUGAAUGCCAGCCGUUAGUGGGUUU